AUUAAAUGCAAGGAGUAAGAAAGAUGCUGCAACUAAGGAUAACUUCAAGAUUUUUAGUUGGGAAAAGGGUGAAAAAAAAGAUCUGGAAGAGAUAGGAAACAAGCGGUUGGAGAGAAUGAGGAUAAAAAAAAUGAGUUCUGUCUGGGACGCAUUAUGUCUGCAGUGUUUGCAGGGAACCCAGAGAGAGGUGUGGCAGCUGGAGAUGUGAGCUGAGAUGUCAGGGAAGGAGAGGGGUGUUUGGAAAUUGUCUCAAACAUAGCUUGUAUAGGUGAAGAUGUGGAAUGGGCAGGGUCCUCCAGAGAGGACAGGCAGAAGGAAAUAAGAAAAGAGGAAGAAGUCACACCUGGGAAAGGCUCGCAUUUAUUACAAGGGAUCUAGUAAAGGAGGCUAAGAAGGAAUGGGAGAAGAGGCAAGAAGUGGCAGUGAUUUGGAAAGAAAAGGAGAUGGAAUUUCGCUCUGUCACUGAGGCUGGAGUACAAUGGCGCUAUCUUGGCUCACUGCAACUUCCGCCUCCCGGGUUCAAGCAAUUCUCCUGCCUCAGCCGCCCGAGUAGCUGGGAUUACAGGUAUUCUUUCACCGACUAUACAAGGGGGUGGUAUCUGAUUGGGGAAAACUUUCCUUUGUUCUCCUGUUUCUGGGAGGGACUUCUGUCAUGGACGCUUGCAGCUUCUCUCCCCACAGGAGGAGAUACUGAAGAUGAACACUUUUUCCAGUUGGUGGGGUGCAAACGGUUUGCACAUCCAUCAGCCCACUGUUCUUUUCCCAGGUAG
This 770-nucleotide long non-coding RNA is filed under the name Callithrix jacchus (white-tufted-ear marmoset). Its description in RNAcentral is "lncRNA (ENSCJAG00000054326.2)". The record is from RNAcentral. Lineage: Eukaryota; Metazoa; Chordata; Mammalia; Primates; Cebidae.